UAGUCAUAUGCUUGUCUCAAAGAUUAAGCCAUGCAUGUCUAAGUAUACGCAAAUUAUACUGUGAAACUGCGAAUGGCUCAUUAAAUCAGUUAUAGUUUAUUUGAUGUUUCUUGCUACAUGGAUAACUGUGGUAAUUCUAGAGCUAAUACAUGCGUAAAAAGCCCCGACUUCUGGAAGGGGUGUAUUUAUUAGAUAAAAACCAUCCUCCUCGGAGUUUGGUGAUUCAUAAUAACUUCUCGAAUCGCACGGCCUUGUGCUGGCGAUGCUUCAUUCAAAUAUCUGCCCUAUCAACUGUCGAUGGUAGGAUAGAGGCCUACCAUGGUUGCAACGGGUAACGGGGAAUAAGGGUUCGAUUCCGGAGAGGGAGCCUGAGAAACGGCUACCACAUCCAAGGAAGGCAGCAGGCGCGCAAAUUACCCA
This 420-nucleotide ribosomal RNA is filed under the name uncultured eukaryote. Its description in RNAcentral is "SSU rRNA". It matches the Rfam family "Eukaryotic small subunit ribosomal RNA", at positions 21 to 447 of the family's 1831-position model. The record is from RNAcentral.